This 1806-nucleotide ribosomal RNA is filed under the name Entamoeba sp. RL8. RNAcentral's name for it is "partial 18S ribosomal RNA". It matches the Rfam family "Eukaryotic small subunit ribosomal RNA". Lineage: Eukaryota; Evosea; Mastigamoebida; Endamoebidae. The record is from RNAcentral.
AGUUUCUUUGGUUAGUACGUACAAGGAUAACUUUGUGAAUGAUAAAGCUAAUACUUGAGACGUUCGGCGGAGUAUUAUACUUCGCUGCCGCUCUACGCAAGUGGAGCGAGAAAUGACAUUCUUCUGUGAGAAAGGAUGCCACGACAAUUGCAGAAAGCAACGCUUUUUACAAGUAACCAAUGGGAAUUUCUGAUCUAUCAUAUUUGUUGGUAGUAUCGAGGACUACCAAGAUUAUAACGGAUAACGAGGAAUUGGGGUUCGACAUCGGAGAGGGAGCUUUACAGAUGGCUACCACUUCUAAGGAAGGCAGCAGGCGCGUAAAUUACCCACUUUCGACAUGAAGAGGUAGUGACGACAAUUAACUCUGGAGGCCCUUUAUGGGUUUCCCGAAGGAAUGAUUAAGAAUUAAAUUCUCUUAAGAAAUCAAUUGGAGGGCAAGUCUGGUGCCAGCAGCCGCGGUAAUUCCAGCUCCAAUAGUGUAUAUUAAAGUUGCUGUGAUUAAAACGCUCGUAGUUUGAAUUAUAAGACACUAGAAUGGGCAGAAGCUUUUCGAAGUGGAGCUCUAUUCGCUAAGGUGUUUAGGUGAUACUUACUUCGGUUAGUGUCAUUACUUUGAAAAAAAUAGGGUGUUUAAAGCAAAUCUUAUGUUAAUGAAUAAUGAAGCAUGGGACAAUAUUGAAGGAGAUCCUUUAUGGAUUUCGAGGAUAAGGAUUAAGAGGAACAAUUGGGGUGAUUCAGAAAAUAACGGGAGAGGUAAAAUUCCAUGAUCGCUAUAAGAUGCACGAGAGCGAAAGCAUUUCACUCAAUUGCGUUCAUUAAUCAAGAACGAAAGUUAGGGGAUCGAAGACGAUUAGAUACCGUCGUAGUCCUAACUAUAAACGAUGUCAACCAAGGAUUGGAUUAGUUUUUGAGUGACUAAGAGUUAAUAGCAUUGCUAUUGACUCGAAGGAACUCGCUUUCACCUUAUUCAGAACUUAAAGAGAAAUCUUGAGUUUAUGGACUUCAGGGGGAGUAUGGUCACAAGGCUGAAACUUAAAGGAAUUGACGGAAGGGCACACCAGGAGUGGAGCCUGCGGCUUAAUUUGACUCAACACGGGAAAACUUACCAAGACCGAACAGUAUUAGGAAUGACAGAUUAAGGGUUCUUUCAUGAUUUAUUGGGUAGUGGUGCAUGGCCGUUCUUAGUUGGUGGAGUGAUUUGUCAGGUUAAUUCCGGUAACGAACGAGACUGAAGCCUAUUAAUUAGUUUCCUGCCUAUAAGACAGGAAUGCCGCAAGGUGGGUGCAUUUGCAUCACUUCUUAAAGGGACUAAUAUCAAUUGUUUCUCGGUUAAUCUGUGAUACCGGUUCGCCGGUGCCUCUUUAAUCGGAAAAAAAGAUAAUGGAAGCAUUCAGCAAUAACAGGUCUGUGAUGCCCUUAGACAUCUUGGGCUGCACGCGCGCUACAAUGGAGAUACUAGCGAGCAUUCCGUCGCGAUGCUUAUUUAAUUGGCUUUGUCAGUUAGGUGAGAUUAUUGCGACAAUACCAAAACUGAAAUAGUUUAGGAAAACUCGAAAGAUCGUACAUGACAGGGAUAAAUGAUUGGAAUUAUUUGUUUUGAACGAGGAAUUCCUUGUAAUAUCGAGUCAUUAGCUCGAGAUGAAUACGUCCCUGCCCUUUGUACACACCGCCCGUCGCUCCUACCGAUUGGAUAUGGAGGUGAAAUUCUAGGACUCUGACUUCGGUUGGGAAAAUGGAUUUAAAUCUCUUUAUCUAGAGGAAGGAGAAGUCGUAACAAGGUUUCCGUAGGUGAACCUGCGGAAGGAU